UCGGGGAUCGUUCAACGGGAGGACUGAGGAUUCUGGCUCCUCAAAUCCAGGUUCGAAUCCUGGUCCCCGAACUA
Molecule: transfer RNA, 74 nt
Filed under: Deltaproteobacteria bacterium
Lineage: Bacteria; Pseudomonadati; Myxococcota; Myxococcia
Description: tRNA-Gln
Rfam family: tRNA
About the family: Transfer RNA (tRNA) molecules are approximately 80 nucleotides in length. Their secondary structure includes four short double-helical elements and three loops (D, anti-codon, and T loops).
Source: RNAcentral